Molecule: non-coding RNA, 114 nt
Organism: Acanthosepion pharaonis
Lineage: Eukaryota; Metazoa; Mollusca; Cephalopoda; Sepiida; Sepiidae
Source: the annotation of a GenBank genome assembly
UUACGGCCACAUCAUGUUGAAGCACUGAUUCUUGUCCAAUCACUGAAGUUAAGCAACAUCAAGCCUGGUCAGAAACAAGAUGGGUGACUACUUGGGAAUGCCAGGUGCUGUAAG